RNAcentral lists this ribosomal RNA (479 nucleotides) under uncultured anaerobic ammonium-oxidizing bacterium. RNAcentral describes it as "bacterial SSU rRNA". It matches the Rfam family "Bacterial small subunit ribosomal RNA", at positions 364 to 833 of the family's 1533-position model. The record is from RNAcentral.
UUUCGCAAUGCCCGAAAGGGUGACGAAGCGACGCCGCGUGGGUGAGGAAGGCCUUCGGGUUGUAAAGCCCUGUCAGGAGUUAUGAAAUGUAAGUGCGCUAAUAUCGUGCUUAUUUGACAAAGGCUCCAAAGGAAGCCACGGCUAACUCUGUGCCAGCAGCCGCGGUAAUACAGGGGUGGCGAGCGUUGUUCGGAAUUAUUGGGCGUAAAGAGCACGUAGGUGGGUUUGCAAGUCAGAUGUGAAAGCCUUCUGUUCAACGGAAGAAUUGCAUCUGAAACUGCUAAUCUUGAGUAUAGGAGGGGAGAAUGGAACUUCUGGUGGAGCGGUGAAAUGCGUAGAUAUCAGAAGGAACGCCGGCGGCGAAAGCGAUUCUCUGGCCUAUUACUGACACUCAGUGUGCGAAAGCUAGGGGAGCAAACGGGAUUAGAUACCCCGGUAGUCCUAGCCGUAAACGAUGGGCACUAAGUAGAGGGGUUUUA